This 4971-nucleotide long non-coding RNA is filed under the name Triticum aestivum (bread wheat). Its description in RNAcentral is "long non-coding RNA (TAES_LNC002190)". The stretch from base 1473 to 1559 matches the Rfam family "MIR1120/MIR1122 microRNA precursor family". Lineage: Eukaryota; Viridiplantae; Streptophyta; Magnoliopsida; Poales; Poaceae. The record is from RNAcentral.
UUUUUUUUUGUUUCCUUCAAGAUCAUCUUGUAUAAAGAUUGCACCUUAUUUUUUUUAGUAAAACACCAUUGUUUAAAUGGUCUCAAAUGAAAUAAUGACGAGAAUUUGAGAGUACUUCGAACAGCAAACAGUUCAAGUUCCAACAAGACUAUUAGUUUGCAUUCGAAUGAUUACAGUACUGAUUAGCAGUUUUUAAUACUCUUCAGCAGACGUGAACAAACGAUGAGGAACAAUUGUAUUAGUAGGAAUCUCGAAGUUGUCAACUAUAUAGAUUUUUUGGAGGGGUCAGGGGGGAGGAUCGAAACAUGUAUAUAUAUUACUCAAACGUGGCCAUUAGGCCGAGGUUUACAAAGGCAAAGCAAGCCAUGAGGAGAGGUAUUCCUGACAUGAUAUGGAAGCAACCUUAUCAGCCAGUUCUCUAAACCGCUAAGCUCAAAAUUUAAAAUCAUUACAAAUAUUUCGAAAAGUGGCAAUGACCUUCAUUCCCAAAGAUGGCAUCAACUAUAUAGAUAAAAAGGCAUAACAAUGGCUUUCAGUGUACAUGACUGUCUGGGGCAGUAGCAGUGUCACGUUAAACUGUGGGGUCAACUAAUCAUCCAGCUUCCUCAGAAACCAUUCCAUACAAGAGAAUCUCAAUACAAAAUCCAGAGAACAAUGAAAAAUGCAGCAAUAUAUUUCACCCAACAGUGGUUUAAGAGAUAUACAGCAUUACCUUCAGAAUAACCUUUCUCCAAAGAUGGAACAUGCUCAGUAUUGCUACUAGAGGCCUUUGAGCUCCCUGCAGCAUCAUUUUUGCCAGUUGUAGCUGUACUUUUGACUGAUUCUUCAUUUGGUGCACCCUUUGAAACACUACCCAAAGCAUUGGUCGCUUCAAGAGCUUUGCUUAGCAAGGCACUUCCAUAUCUAUAAAAUGUGCUGGCACACUCCGGAGCAAGUACACCAUAAUGUAGAACCCUAUGUGACACAAAUGAUAUAAAUUUGUCAGUGUCUCGUUUUUAAGCUAGGUUAUAACAUAACAGUAAGGCCAUGAACGUUAAUGUAAUCCAAGAUAUAACAACACAACCAUUUUCUAGACACAUGGUGCUAACUGUGUCAUGUUGGCCGUCUUUCAUAACAACUAACUAGUGCUUGUCGCAGAUUCUGAAGUACCGUGCAUACUUAUAAACUGUACAUCGAAGAAAUUAUUGCAUCUAGCAAAUACUGGAGAGGAAUAUAACACUUCUCAAAUAGGAUAAUACAUAUCCCUCAAGUAUUGAGACUCUGAUAUAAUACUCGUCACAGUACAGACAUCAUAAUGGUUAACGGAAGAUGAGAGGCCCCAACUCCCAGGUAUUUUUAUUAGGUAACAAUCACACUGGCUAAUCGUUGGACUCGCUAAUCCCUCAAAAUCAACACAUACCGUCACGCUUAUCAACACAUGAGACCAAAACACCACCCCUUGGUAAUCACCUUGUCGUAGAACAUCUUAAAUACUACUCCCUCCGUCCCAUAAUAUAAGAACGUUUCUGACACUAGUGUAGUGUCAGAAACGCUCUUAUAUUAUGGGACAGAGGGAGUACUAAACUAACUACAAAUGUCAAAGGAUUAAUGUAACUAAGGACAGAUGAAUAGAGCACUGAACUAAUUGAAAGUUACUAUUGUACACAAUCCAUCCGUACAUACGCUACAACCUGUACCUGUCUUGGAGAAGAAGCAGAAUUUAAGAGUAGAACCCUAACCUGAUCUUGAGAGCGCGCCUGAAGCAGUUAAUGGCGUUGGUGAAGUCCCUCUCCUCAACAGCCUUGCACCCCUUACUGAACAGCUCCUGUGCCAGCUCUAGUGGAGAAUGUGGAGUGUAGAAGCUGACAACUGGAAUCAGAUUACAGAAGUCAUGAUAUUCGAAUACCUUCCUUGCCCGCUCUGAUUGUAUAGUUCGAUUGAGAAGAGGCCAGCAGCUGUGUUAAUGAAAAUGACAUUCACUCCCUCGGCAAAUCCCAACACUUGCACUGAACUAGUUGCAUUCGCAAAAGCAUCAUUUGGAAGCAAAACAUUCAGGUUGAUGACCCGGCUCAGUACCCAUCGGGCAUCGGCGCCGUCACUCAGCACCCUUGACCACAAUUUCAGAUGUUGAUCCAAGUCUUCGCAGACUCCCAGUCCACCAUCCUCGGCCAGCAUGAGGUUAAUUCUCUCCUCGGUGUUGAACUCGCACAAGUUGGGAGGGUUAAACACAGCUAGGCUGUGCCUGACCAAGUCAUACUCUUGGAUAACCUUAACGUCAGACAUGAAGUAGAGUAGAGACCUCCUAACGAGCACGCUGGAAAAGUAUUCAAAGUUGCCGAACUCGCCGUGCAACGAGGUCAGCUCGCCCCAGGCGGCAGUCUCCGAUGAGUAUACGCAUGCCGACGUGACAUAUUGCUCGUCGUCGGAGUCGUCCUCGAAGAAGAUGACGCCGAAGAGGAAUACCACGCGGUUAUGGACAUGCUUAGCAUUCUUAUGAAGAGAAGUAUAUAAGAAAAAAUAGACGUUCCUCACACGAAAUCUAGCUUAUGUACGAAAAGUGACUGCUUGUAUGGUUGUUCUUCCCAAGAUAUAUACUCCAUCCGUCCAGAAAUACUUGUCAGAGAAAUGGAUAAAAAUGGAUGUAUCUAGACCUAAAACACAUCUAGAUACAUCCAUUGCCCUGACAAGUAUUUCCAGACAGAGGGAGUGCAUUUUUUUACUUUGGUUUAUUCGGUAAACCGUUCGGUUUUUCGGUAUAUACCAUAAAAAAUCAGAAUUCAAAAUGGUAUGAAAAGUUCAUACCAUACCGAAACCAUAAAACAUAAAAACAAUAAAUUUGGUUUGGUUUAUAUUAGGUAUAUUUUUCGAUUUGGUUUAAAAAUGCACAGGGUGACUUGCCAUCACAGUCGCCUCCUACGCUCGCCCCUCGCCGGUGUUGCGCCCACCCCCUCCCUGUAGAAUCAAUGUUGAGGACAUCAUGGCUCACAACCAACGGCAGUGGAAGCAAAAUUGGCGAUGGUGCUGGUUCCAGCAAAGCAAAACGCCGGCGGCAUCAAAAUUGCAAAAUUGGCGUUGAUUCCACCAAAACCAAAAACAUCGAUGAUAGCAAAAAUUGGGCGCUGGUUCUAGCAAACCAAAAAAAAUGAUGGUAGAAAAAAUUCAAAAUUGGGCGUUGGUUCCAACAAACCAAAAUGUCGGGUGGUAGCAAAAUUGGGUGAUCGUUCCAGCAAAAAUUAACGCCGGUGGUAAAAAGUUGGGCACUGGUUCCAGCAAAAAACUAAUGCCAUCAUCGUUGCAUCGCCAUCGACCGCGCAGUUUCCAUCACCUCGUUUCGUUCGAUGCGCACCCGGGCAGACCUUUGGUGUUGCGUGUGCAAAACACGGCAUCAGGGACGAGAGACGCCCCCUUUUUGGUUCGGUGUUGGGGCACUAACAAGCUCAAGCCCUCUAUCUACGACAUCGUGGUUCUUACCCAGGUUCGGGCAGCUGGAAAAGUGUAAAACCCUACGUCCUGCUAAAUUGUAUUGCUGGAUGUGAUGAACUAGAAGUUAGAACGAUGAACUUUUCUUGUCGGGCCAAAGAAAGUGCAGUGGUGCAUGGGACAUAAACUCUUAGGAGUUCAACCAUUAUAUACAUAGCUUGGGCCUCAUUUUAUACUCAUAAGGGGUCACCCCAAUGGCUACAACAGAAUAUGUACAGUACAUGUACCUAUCACACUAAAUACAUGGGUAUGUGACCCGGGGCGUACACAUCUUGUCAUGGCAGGCUUUACUGAUAACACUCUUUUACCGUGGCGCAUCACUAUUCACUAGCAAGGUGUCGCACACACGGUAAAAGGGAUGGUGAUUCACCGUGCGUGCCACCUAAUCUGGUUUGAGGCGUGCUCCCCACUUGACAGUUGGAUCUGCGCCACUGUCACUAGUAUGCCUCUCAGAAUUAGCAAGAACAGAAAAACAUUUUUUAAACAGUAAAAGAUUGAAUUAGACCGUAAAUGUUUCUCAAAUGAUGUUACUUGCUGCACAUUAGCAGCAGAUUGAGAUACUAGUAUAACUGAUUUGCCAACUCCUCUAAGAGUAGAAAAUACUGCUUGUCUCUGAAAAUUAGCAGGAGUAGAAAAUCAUAAUGCUAAGAAACAGAGGGAAAGAUCUUGCAACAGAUGCAACAUGUAGACCAUAAAUGACUGGGAACAAAUGCACCAUAACUUAAAAAAUUCAAAAUAAUAUAUUGAUGCACAAGUGAUCCAAUCUUGGUCGCUUUCUAUUGACCAAGUGAUCCAGUUUUGGUUGUUUUCUGGUGCACAUCAGCUUAGCACUUGCUGCACAUUAUCAGCAGCAGACUGAGAUAUUAGUACAGCUGAUAUGUACGCAAGGCCUCCUCCUCUAGCAGAUCGAUACAUCACAGUAAAGUUCAAACAACAUAAGGUUUUGCGGAGCACGACAAACAACUUGUAUAUCCACAAGACCACAACAGAAGGCGAUGGGAAGGUAUCACUGGAAACAACAAAUCAAUGGAUGGGCAUCUCGCUGCAGAGAGCCGCUGAUGAUCAGAUCAAAUAUCUAGUAACCAGAUCAAAUGCUGAAUGACAACAACUUCUAUCUUCCCACUUUUAUACAAUUCAACAGAUAAGUAUUGAUCAUUGAGGGAACACAAUGAGCAGGGACUAGUAACAUCUUGUCAGGACAUCCCAGGCAUAUCUUGGUAGUUUCAGAUCGUCUAUCUAGCUGAUAUCAUAUUUCUUUCACGGAUGAUGAAUCAUCCGCUGCAAAAAUCUUUGGAGAAGGCGCAUACUUCUCAUUAGCUGUUUCAUGCAUGUGCUAACAAUCCCAACGUACAUUACACCACUUCCGAUGCUUCCUGUUGUUGCUGCUGUACACAUAGUUGGGGAACGGAAGCUGUGGUUUGAUCCGGCCAUCUGUGAAGAAGUCAAAGAUGCAGCACCUUCCACAGUAUUCUUGACGUUCUGCUCCUGACUCGGCAUUGAGACAACCUUCUU